GCUUUUGACUUCCGCACUACAACGAGAAAUGAGCCUUUCCUGCAGCUUUUCCAUUGCCUUUACGCAUAUCCUUUAACUGUUAGUUUGAGUAGGAAGAGGAAUCUAUUCAUACGGGUUGAAUUAAGGAAGGAUGACACCGAUAUCCGUAGACAGCCCUUGGAGGCUAUGUAUCCAAGAGAAUCGGGUUCAUCACUUCUGAAGUGGGCUCACACACAAGUAGCUGUGGGAGCUAGGGUGGCCUGUUACCAUGAUGAGAUUAAGAUUUCUCUCCCUGCCAUCUGGACACCAUUGCAUCAUCUCCUGUUCACUUUCUUCCAUGUUGAUCUUCAGACAAAACUAGAAGCUCCAAAACCAGUAGUUAUUGGAUAUGCAUCGCUUCCAUUAUCUACACAUGCUCAGUAAGUAUAUG
Molecule: non-coding RNA, 409 nt
Organism: Carica papaya (papaya)
Lineage: Eukaryota; Viridiplantae; Streptophyta; Magnoliopsida; Brassicales; Caricaceae
Source: RefSeq, a predicted model, not a curated record